This 497-nucleotide ribosomal RNA is filed under the name uncultured bacterium. RNAcentral describes it as "partial 16S ribosomal RNA". It matches the Rfam family "Bacterial small subunit ribosomal RNA", at positions 28 to 507 of the family's 1533-position model. The record is from RNAcentral.
GAUGAACGCUGGCGGCGUGCCUAAUACAUGCAAGUCGAGCGAACAGACGAGGAGCUUGCUCCUCUGACGUUAGCGGCGGACGGGUGAGUAACACGUGGAUAACCUACCUAUAAGACUGGGAUAACUUCGGGAAACCGGAGCUAAUACCGGAUAAUAUAUUGAACCGCAUGGUUCAAUAGUGAAAGACGGUCUUGCUGUCACUUAUAGAUGGAUCCGCGCCGCAUUAGCUAGUUGGUAAGGUAACGGCUUACCAAGGCAACGAUGCGUAGCCGACCUGAGAGGGUGAUCGGCCACACUGGAACUGAGACACGGUCCAGACUCCUACGGGAGGCAGCAGUAGGGAAUCUUCCGCAAUGGGCGAAAGCUUGACGGAGCAACGCCGCGUGAGUGAUGAAGGUCUUCGGAUCGUAAAACUCCGUUAUUAGGGAAGAACAAAUGUGUAAGUAACUAUGCACGUCUUGACGGUACCUAAUCAGAAAGCCACGGCUAACUACGUG